Molecule: long non-coding RNA, 1414 nt
Organism: Oncorhynchus tshawytscha (Chinook salmon)
Lineage: Eukaryota; Metazoa; Chordata; Actinopteri; Salmoniformes; Salmonidae
Source: Ensembl
CAGCUCUCCAAUUAGCCAUGGAGUCGACCAAUCAGCUGCUUGAGGGAUUUCAGGAAGCCAUUUCCUGAAAUAAACACAUGCAAAUACACAAACUAGAGAGAAGAGAGAAGAGAGAGGGGUGAGGUAUGGUGUGAGAGAAGAGAGAGGGGUGAGGUAUGGUGUGAGAGAAGAGAGAAGAGAGAGGGUGAGGUAUGGUGUGAGAGCAGAGAGAAGAGAGAGGGGUGAGGUAUGGUGUGAUAGCAGAGAGAAGAGAGAGGGGUGAGGCAUUGUGUGAGAGCAGAGAGAGGGGUGAGGUAUGGUGUGAGAGCAGAGAGAGGGGUGAGGUAUGGUGUGAGAGCAGAGAGAAGAGAGAGGGGUGAGGUAUUGUGUGAGAGCAGAGAGAGGGGUGAGGUAUGGUGUGAGAGCAGAGAGAGGGGUGAGGUAUGGUGUGAGAACAGAGAGAAGAGUGAGGGGUGAGGUAUUGUGUGAGAGCAGAGAGCAGAGAGAGGGGUGAGGUGUGGUUUGAGAGCAGAGAGAGGGGUGAGGUAUGGUGUGAGAGCAGAGAGAGGGGUGAGGUAUGGUGUGAGAGCAGAGAGAGGGGUGAGGUAUGGUGUGAGAACAGAGAGAAGAGUGAGGGGUGAGGUAUUGUGUGAGAGCAGAGAGAAGAGAGAGGGGUGAGGUAUUGUGUGAGAGCAGAGAGAGGGGUGAGGUAUGGUGUGAGAGCAGAGAGAGGGUGAGGUAUGGGGUGAGAGCAGAGAGAAGAGAGCAGAGAGAGGGGUGAGGUAUGGUGUGAGAGCAGAGAGAAGAGAGAGGUAUGGUGUGAGAGCAGAGAGAAGAGAGAGGGGGUGAGGUAUGGUGUGAGAGCAGAGAGAGGGGUGAGGUAUGGUGUGAGAGCAGAGAGAGGGUUGAGGAAUGGUAUGAGAGCAGAGAGAAGAGAGAGGGGUGAGGUAUUGUGUGAGAGCAGAGAGAGGGGUGAGGUAUGGUGUGAGAGCAGAGAGAGGGGUGAGGUAUGGUGUGAGAGCAGAGAGAGGGGUGAGGUAUGGUGUGAGAGCAGAGAGAAGAUAGAGGUGUGAGGUAUGGUGUGAGAGCAGAGAGAAGAGAGAGGUGUGAGGUAUGGUGUGAGAGCAGAGAGAGGGGUCAGGUAUGGUGUGAGAGCAGAGAGAGGUUUGAGGUGUGGUGUGAGAGCAGAGAGAAGAGAGAGGGGUGAGGUAUUGUGUGAGAGCAGAGAGAGGGGUCAGGUAUGGUGUGAGAGCAGAGAGUGGGGUGAGGUAUGGUGUGAGAGCAGAGAGAGGGGUGAGGUUGGUGUGAGAGCAGAGAGAAGAGAGAGGGGUGAGGCAUUGUGUGAGAGCAGAGAGAGGGGUGAGGUAUGGUGUGAGAGCAGAGAGAGGGGUGAGGUAUGGUGUGAGAGCAGAGAGCAGAGAGCAGAGAGAGGGGU